Molecule: ribosomal RNA, 427 nt
Filed under: uncultured bacterium
Lineage: Bacteria
Description: partial 16S ribosomal RNA
Rfam family: Bacterial small subunit ribosomal RNA
Source: RNAcentral
UGGGGAAUAUUGGACAAUGGGCGAAAGCCUGAUCCAGCCAUGCCGCGUGUGUGAAGAAGGUCUUCGGAUUGUAAAGCACUUUAAGUUGGGAGGAAGGGCAUUAACCCAAUACGUUAGUGUUUUGACGUUACCGACAGAAUAAGCACCGGCUAACUCUGUGCCAGCAGCCGCGGUAAUACAGAGGGUGCAAGCGUUAAUCGGAAUUACUGGGCGUAAAGCGCGCGUAGGUGGUUUGUUAAGUUGGAUGUGAAAUCCCCGGGCUCAACCUGGGAACUGCAUUCAAAACUGACUGACUAGAGUAUGGUAGAGGGUGGUGGAAUUUCCUGUGUAGCGGUGAAAUGCGUAGAUAUAGGAAGGAACACCAGUGGCGAAGGCGACCACCUGGACUAAUACUGACACUGAGGUGCGAAAGCGUGGGGAGCAAACA